Molecule: ribosomal RNA, 212 nt
Filed under: uncultured bacterium
Lineage: Bacteria
Description: partial 16S ribosomal RNA
Rfam family: Bacterial small subunit ribosomal RNA
Source: RNAcentral
GAUGAACGCUGGCGGCGUGCCUAACACAUGCAAGUCGGACGGUGGUGACCUUUCGGGGUGACCACAGUGGCGCACGGGUGAGGAACACGUAGCUGACCUGCCCUGGAGCGCGGGAUAACCCUGGGAAACGAGGGCUAAGACCGCCUACGCUCGCGCGCUGUAGAGGCGCGCGAGGAAAACCGUAAGGUGCUCUGGGGAGGGGCGUGCGGCCC